Molecule: ribosomal RNA, 449 nt
Filed under: Salmonella enterica subsp. enterica serovar Anatum
Lineage: Bacteria; Pseudomonadati; Pseudomonadota; Gammaproteobacteria; Enterobacterales; Enterobacteriaceae
Description: bacterial SSU rRNA
Rfam family: Bacterial small subunit ribosomal RNA
Source: RNAcentral
UCCUACGGGAGGCUGCAGUGAGGAAUAUUGGUCAAUGGGCGCGAGCCUGAACCAGCCAAGUAGCGUGAAGGAUGACGGCCCUAUGGGUUGUAAACUUCUUUUAUAUGGGAAUAAAGUUUGGUAUGCAUACCAUUUUGUAUGUACCAUAUGAAUAAGGAUCGGCUAACUCCGUGCCAGCAGCCGCGGUAAUACGGAGGAUCCGAGCGUUAUCCGGAUUUAUUGGGUUUAAAGGGAGCGUAGGUGGACAGUUAAGUCAGUUGUGAAAGUUUGCGGCUCAACCGUAAAAUUGCAGUUGAUACUGGCUGUCUUGAGUACAGUAGAGGUGGGCGGAAUUCGUGGUGUAGCGGUGAAAUGCUUAGAUAUCACGAAGAACUCCGAUUGCGAAGGCGGCUAACAGGGCUGUAACUGGCACUGAUGCUAGAACGUGUGGGUAGGAAACAGGACUAGAU